Long non-coding RNA from Mustela erminea (ermine), 1494 nucleotides. RefSeq lists it as uncharacterized. The record is from RefSeq and is a predicted model, not a curated record. NCBI's taxonomy places the organism in Eukaryota, Metazoa, Chordata, Mammalia, Carnivora, Mustelidae. The transcript has 3 exons.
AGAGAAAGUAAUAGAAACAUGAAACCAAGGUGCUACAUGUUGUGCCAUGAGAGGUCAAUUCCACUGUCUCUGACUUAGUUCAAUGUCUUCUGCUAGCUUCUAUAAAAUUAAGGUAAAAUGUCAGAACUUUCACAGUUCUUAAAAAUGGAAAUGAAAAAGAAAAGAGAGAAAAAGAAUGAUAUUUUGGACUAAUCAAUAUGUAUAGAACAAGAGAGAUUGGAGUGAAGGAAAGGAGAAUAAGAAGUAAUAGCCAGUCAUAUUGGAACCAAACCAGAAGAAUUUAUUUUACUGUUUUCCACGGAAUUCUAUUUUUAAAAUAUCUUGCAAAUGGGAGAUCAUCUUUGAUAUGAUGCCAAGUGUUUGAGUAAGUGGUUGGCCACUGGAUCCAAUAAAUUGUAGGAACUAAUUAAGGAACUUAACCAAUAAUCCAUUAUCAUUGACCAUAUCUUAUUCAUGUAUCUGUGAAAAACCUCAAUCUCUUUAAUAAGCAGUCACUGCUUAUGUCACACAAAUAAUACAAACAUUUAUGGACAUCUGGGAAAGUUAUUUUUAAAGCUUUUUUUUUUUUUGAAACAACUGUAGAUUCACAUGCAGUUGUAGGAAACGAUACAGAAAUAUCCUCUUAACCCUUCACUCAGUUUCCUCCAGUGAUAACAUUUUGCAUAACUACAGUACAAUACUCAACUAGAAAACUGAAGUUAAUUAAACCCAAUCAGAAAACCAUAAGUUUUAUAUUCAUUUGUGGGUACCAGUAUAUUCAGUCCUAUGCAAUUUCAUACUUAUAUGUUGAUACGAUCACUACAUUUAAGAACAGUUCCAGCACAAGGAUCCCUUGUGCUACCUUUUCAUAGUCAUAAACACCUUCUUCCUUUGUAAAAUAAGAAUUAGGCGAAUAAAACAGAGAAGUUGGGCAGGAAAAGAUGUACAAAAACUAUGAAGCUUGAGAAAAAGUGUUAAGCUUAAAGAGCAGCAACUUUUAUUCUAUACUGUGAAUUUAUUUUCCUUUGCUUUAUUAGAAAUAGACUUAUAAUAAUUUGUGUUGUUUUUUGGGUGAAAACAAUUUGUAUGAUGGAUGGCUAAAUGUCUAAAUAGCAGAUGGAUAGAUGGAUGGAUGGACUGAUGAAUGGAUUGAUAAAAUCCCUGGUUAUAAAUCAAGAUAUGGCAGAACUGAGAAUCAGAGUAUGAAUCAUCUGGAAGCAGCAUGCAUGGAAAACUCUAAAAAGGACUAACAUGAAGUGAAAACUGGUCAGAAUGAGACUAUGAAAAUAAUCUAGGUGAGUGAGACCUCAAAUACUUUCAUCCAUAUUAUCUCCAAGACAGUAAUGUCCUCUCUACUACACAGAAAUGAGUGAAUUGUAUAGAUAGAUUCUAACAAGUUAACAUACAAAACAAAAUAAAAUUGUGUGAUCUCUAGAGAUUUUUCAAACUGUUAACUUUCCCAAAGCAUUAGGAUAUAAUCUUUUAACAGAUUAAAGGAAAAAAAAAAAGAUAUUA